AAAGUAUAGAGAAAGAUGAAAAAUUAUACUAAUAACUAUGUUGGUCAUUUAGUAGAAAAUCUUACUAUUACUAAUUGGAGGCUCCUUUUGAAGCUUCCAGGUGAAGCCAUCUAGAAUCCUAGGUGGACCCUCUAGAAAAAGAGAGAAAUCCUAAAAAUUCUCACAAAAAAGUAAAACAUCUAGCCAUCAAUCGGUAGACUCAAAUGAUCAUAGCCAUUGGAUCUAUUAUGCUUUCUAAAAAAUUAUCCACCUAUACCACUAUGAAAAUAGCCUAAGUAACCCCCUAAAUCUAUAUCUAAAUUAUCCACCUAUACCAUUAUAUAAAAUAAACUAAAGUAACCCUUAAUCUUCAUCAAAAGUACCCACUUAUAUCAUUAUAAAUAAUAUUUAAAAUAAUCCCCUAAAUUUGCAACUAAAUUGUCUACCACUGAUACUUAAAAAAUAACUUAAAGUGCAUCUAUACUACCCACAUAUGCUAUUAUUAAAAAUAACAUGAGGCAACCCUACAUUUUAAUCCAAAUCAUCUUGAUUAAAAAUAUACACAAUAUAUGAUUCUAAAUCAUCUAUUUCUUACACUGUUGAUAUAUGAUAUAAUAAUUGAGGUAUAUAGGUAUGAUGUGUGUCACCAUUUAUAAAGAUAUAGAGGAAGUGAUGGGAAUAUAAGUUUCUAUGUUAAAAUUAUAGCUCAAACUUAGGAUCCAUUAAACAAUUUCAUGUGUAUACUUGCGAUGCAAAUUGAAAAGUUGAAAAUUAUAAAUGUGGAUGAAGACAUUAUAGAGUAAUUACUAACUAAAAUCUAUUACAAUUGGAUGAAGAUAAUAAGUUUGUAUAUAUAUAAGUAUUAUGUUUGAAUAUUUAACAAAUGAGAAGUAGCUCCAGGUAAUAGUUUUGUAGCAAUGUGGCCUCAUUUUUUUCCUUGGAGACUCCGUAUUAGUUCUCACCAGACAUGCUGAAAAAAAAGAUAAAUAUUAGAAAUUCUCACAAAAAUCAGAAACAUCAAACAUCAAUCCUGUAAACUCUAAUAAUCAUAGUCAUUGGUCUAUUAUAUUUUCUAAAAAUUAACCACCACUAUCAUUAUGAAAAUAUUAUAAAAUAAACACUAAAUCUAUAUCUAAAUUACCGGGCUCUACAUUAUAAAAAAUAAUAUAAAGUAAC
Molecule: long non-coding RNA, 1155 nt
Filed under: Setaria viridis
Lineage: Eukaryota; Viridiplantae; Streptophyta; Magnoliopsida; Poales; Poaceae
Description: long non-coding RNA (SVIR_LNC010456)
Source: RNAcentral